Hevea brasiliensis (rubber tree) is the source of this 675-nucleotide long non-coding RNA. RefSeq lists it as uncharacterized. The record is from RefSeq and is a predicted model, not a curated record. Lineage: Eukaryota; Viridiplantae; Streptophyta; Magnoliopsida; Malpighiales; Euphorbiaceae. The transcript has 2 exons.
UUCUUACGUUUGCCAUUGUACCAUGACUGACAUCGGCUCUCCUUUAGUCGUACUUGCCGUCGCUCAGCAUCCACCACCGGCAAACCUCUUCGCCGAUAGCUUUCAGUUCAUCUUCAACAAUUCCCAUGUUGUUUCGGUCCAUACUUGACAUAUACUAGCAGGUCAAGUUUCUGUCCAUUCCCGAUGCAGGGGAAACUCUGCCAAAAUUUUCUCUGACCAGGUGCUGUUAUUGCUUCUGCUGAUGCUACCUCAAGUUGUUCUCCUUCUUCAUUCAGUAGCUCUUCGAGUGCUGGUCCUUGUACAACUGGUUCAUCUGUGACAAUAAGUAUUCUCAUCCCAUUUGCAUCUCUUUUGACCACUUUCCAUGGUGUUUCCUAGUUGUCUUUAACUCCUCUUUAAUUCUUCCUCUGCAGGACCUGGAUGUGGCCAAUGUCAGCAUUAGUCCUUUGCAUACCACUACUGUUUUCCUGAUUUUCGUUUUCCCCCUAGCCAAAUUGAUGAGAUAUUUAAUUAGAACACCCUAAAAAUUAUUCUUAAACCGAGGAGAUUAAGUAUUGGCCAAGAUACACAAUUGGAUAGGCUGAGUGAAUUGACAGGUUAUCUCUUAUAUACUUAGGCCCCUGGCAUAAGAUCGUUAUCCAGAAAUUAAUUUACUUGACUUGCUUUGCACCUCCA